Eubalaena glacialis (North Atlantic right whale) is the source of this 257-nucleotide long non-coding RNA. RefSeq lists it as uncharacterized. The transcript has 3 exons. The record is from RefSeq and is a predicted model, not a curated record. NCBI's taxonomy places the organism in Eukaryota, Metazoa, Chordata, Mammalia, Artiodactyla, Balaenidae.
AGGACACUGGCUGGACCUUAUUUUCCCAUGAGUCUGCUGCAGCUUAGAAGUCCUGGGACAUUUGACAAAGGCCUGCAGAAGAUUUAAAGAAACUUCCUGCUCUUUUCUCUUAAGCUAACUAUGACUUGGAGAAAUUUGGUAAAUUAUACCUCUAUACACCUCUUGUUAAACACCUGAUUGCUUGGGUAAUGUAGCCGAACUCUAUCACUGCCUCCUGAAAUGAACUGAACUGACCUACUCUCAAGACUAGGAAAGGG